AACAAUUCUGUGAUUCUCCUGAAGACGUUGCUGGACCUGGGGGCCUCCCCAGACUACAAGGACAGCCGGGGGCUGACACCGCUGUACCACAGUGCCAUGGUGGGAGGGGAUCCCUACUGCUGCGAGCUGCUGCUGCACGACUACGCUCGGCUGGGCUGUGUGGAUGAGAACGGCUGGCAGGAGAUCCACCAGGCAUGUCGCUACGGCCACGUUCAGCACCUGGAGCAUCUUCUCUUCUACGGCGCUGACAUGACCGCGCAGAACGCCUCAGGAAACACCGCUCUUCACAUCUGUGCUCUCUAUAACCAGGAGAGCUGCGCCCGG
Molecule: long non-coding RNA, 324 nt
Organism: Numida meleagris (helmeted guineafowl)
Lineage: Eukaryota; Metazoa; Chordata; Aves; Galliformes; Numididae
Exons: 4
Source: RefSeq, a predicted model, not a curated record